RNAcentral lists this transfer RNA (74 nucleotides) under Streptomyces hygroscopicus subsp. jinggangensis TL01. RNAcentral's name for it is "tRNA-Met". The record is from RNAcentral. Lineage: Bacteria; Bacillati; Actinomycetota; Actinomycetes; Kitasatosporales; Streptomycetaceae.
GAACGGGGAGAAGAGCAGCGACAAGAGCAGCGACAAGAACGCUGACAAGAACAGCGACGAGAAGCGGAGUUGAU